RNAcentral lists this ribosomal RNA (512 nucleotides) under uncultured bacterium. RNAcentral describes it as "bacterial SSU rRNA". It matches the Rfam family "Bacterial small subunit ribosomal RNA", at positions 33 to 518 of the family's 1533-position model. The record is from RNAcentral.
ACGCUGGCGGCGUGCCUAAUACAUGCAAGUCGAACGGUCUUUCUAUGGAAGCUUGCUUCCACUGAGAAGAUAGUGGCGAACGGGUGAGUAACACGUGGGUAACCUGCCCAUAAGAGGGGGAUAACAUCCGGAAACGGGUGCUAAUACCGCAUAGUUUUCUUGAUCGCAUGAUCGGGAAAGGAAAGACGGCCUUUGUGCUGUCGCUUAUGGAUGGACCCGCGGCGUAUUAGUUAGUUGGUGAGGUAACGGCUCACCAAGACGAUGAUACGUAGCCGACCUGAGAGGGUGAUCGGCCACAUUGGGACUGAGACACGGCCCAGACUCCUACGGGAGGCAGCAGUAGGGAAUCUUCCGCAAUGGACGAAGUCUGACGGAGCAACGCCGCGUGAGUGAAGAAGGUUUUUCCGGAUCGUAAAACUCUGUUGUCAGAGAAGAACAAGUUGGAGAGUAACUGCUCCAGCCUUGACGGUAUCUGACCAGAAAGCCACGGCUAACUACGUGCCAGCAGCAGC